Alosa sapidissima (American shad) is the source of this 703-nucleotide long non-coding RNA. RefSeq lists it as uncharacterized. The transcript has 3 exons. Lineage: Eukaryota; Metazoa; Chordata; Actinopteri; Clupeiformes; Clupeidae. The record is from RefSeq and is a predicted model, not a curated record.
ACUAUUGUUUGUUUUGAUAACAUUGGGUAAGUAUUUCCAUUUACCCUACAUCACUAAGCUGUUGUUUCGUCGUAUCAGAAUCUGAUAGUAAAAGCAACAAGUGUGGUUCGGUAAUCUCAUGCUAUCUUGUUCAUAUUUAGCAGCUAGCCAGAAGAGAGCAACGUAUAACUUAAAACUGUUUGUAGUUAGAUGUUAGAUUUUGCUGCGAAGACUUUGCCAAGUAUUUUCCUGUGUAGCUGAAAUCACAGAUAAUACUUAUAUGGACUGAAAUGACCAGAGUACAUUGUUAAUUUGGAUGUUCGUGUUCGUUAGCAUCGUUGGUAAGAGUUCGUUGGUAAGAGUUAACGUGCUAGCUAGCAUGGCAAUGGCACACUACAUUGGUCGAUGUGAAGCUACGUUUUGGUGGCAGGUAUAAUUGUGGGUAAGUAGUGUUUGUUAUUCAUCUUUCUGUAAUCUCUCUAGCCCUGUAGGACAAGCUGGCGGACCCCUCCCACCCUCUCAAGCAAGCAGUGAAAGCCCUGCAGGACAAGCUGGCGUACUCCUCCCAUCGUCUCCAUCGGCCCAGUUCAGCACCACCUUCCAGACAGCAAGCAGUGAAAGUCUUACAGGACAAGCUGUCGGACCAUUCUCACACUCUCCAUCAAGCACAUCAAGUGACAGGCCAAUCUUCCCCCCAGAAGUGUUACAACAAAUUAUUGGAGAA